Molecule: ribosomal RNA, 978 nt
Filed under: Micrococcus endophyticus
Lineage: Bacteria; Bacillati; Actinomycetota; Actinomycetes; Micrococcales; Micrococcaceae
Description: bacterial SSU rRNA
Rfam family: Bacterial small subunit ribosomal RNA
Source: RNAcentral
CUGCAGAAGAAGCACCGGCUAACUACGUGCCAGCAGCCGCGGUAAUACGUAGGGUGCGAGCGUUAUCCGGAAUUAUUGGGCGUAAAGAGCUCGUAGGCGGUUUGUCACGUCUGUCGUGAAAGUCCGGGGCUUAACCCCGGAUCUGCGGUGGGUACGGACAGACUAGAGUGCAGUAGGGGAGACUGGAAUUCCUGGUGUAGCGGUGGAAUGCGCAGAUAUCAGGAGGAACACCGAUGGCGAAGGCAGGUCUCUGGGCUGUAACUGACGCUGAGGAGCGAAAGCAUGGGGAGCGAACAGGAUUAGAUACCCUGGUAGUCCAUGCCGUAAACGUUGGGCACUAGGUGUGGGGACCAUUCCACGGUUUCCGCGCCGCAGCUAACGCAUUAAGUGCCCCGCCUGGGGAGUACGGCCGCAAGGCUAAAACUCAAAGGAAUUGACGGGGGCCCGCACAAGCGGCGGAGCAUGCGGAUUAAUUCGAUGCAACGCGAAGAACCUUACCAAGGCUUGACAUGUUCUCGAUCGCCGUAGAGAUACGGUUUCCCCUUUGGGGCGGGUUCACAGGUGGUGCAUGGUUGUCGUCAGCUCGUGUCGUGAGAUGUUGGGUUAAGUCCCGCAACGAGCGCAACCCUCGUUCCAUGUUGCCAGCACGUAAUGGUGGGGACUCAUGGGAGACUGCCGGGGUCAACUCGGAGGAAGGUGAGGACGACGUCAAAUCAUCAUGCCCCUUAUGUCUUGGGCUUCACGCAUGCUACAAUGGCCGGUACAAUGGGUUGCGAUACUGUGAGGUGGAGCUAAUCCCAAAAAGCCGGUCUCAGUUCGGAUUGGGGUCUGCAACUCGACCCCAUGAAGUCGGAGUCGCUAGUAAUCGCAGAUCAGCAACGCUGCGGUGAAUACGUUCCCGGGCCUUGUACACACCGCCCGUCAAGUCACGAAAGUUGGUAACACCCGAAGCCGGUGGCCUAACCCUUGUGGGGGGAG